UAGUUGGUGAGGUAACGGCUCACCAAGGCGACGAUGCGUAGCCGACCUGAGAGGGUGAUCGGCCACACUGGGACUGAGACACGGCCCAGACUCCUACGGGAGGCAGCAGUAGGGAAUCUUCCGCAAUGGACGAAAGUCUGACGGAGCAACGCCGCGUGAGUGAUGAAGGUUUUCGGAUCGUAAAGCUCUGUUGUUAGGGAAGAACAAGUACCGUUCGAAUAGGGCGGUACCUUGACGGUACCUAACCAGAAAGCCACGGCUAACUACGUGCCAGCAGCCGCGGUAAUACGUAGGUGGCAAGCGUUGUCCGGAAUUAUUGGGCGUAAAGGGCUCGCAGGCGGUUUCUUAAGUCUGAUGUGAAAGCCCCCGGCUCAACCGGGGAGGGUCAUUGGAAACUGGGGAACUUGAGUGCAGAAGAGGAGAGUGGAAUUCCACGUGUAGCGGUGAAAUGCGUAGAGAUGUGGAGGAACACCAGUGGCGAAGGCGACUCUCUGGUCUGUAACUGACGCUGAGGAGCGAAAGCGUGGGGAGCGAACAGGAUUAGAUACCCUGGUAGUCCACGCCGUAAACGAUGAGUGCUAAGUGUUAGGGGGUUUCCGCCCCUUAGUGCUGCAGCUAACGCAUUAAGCACUCCGCCUGGGGAGUACGGUCGCAAGACUGAAACUCAAAGGAAUUGACGGGGGCCCGCACAAGCGGUGGAGCAUGUGGUUUAAUUCGAAGCAACGCGAAGAACCUUACCAGGUCUUGACAUCCUCUGACAAUCCUAGAGAUAGGACGUCCCCUUCGGGGGCAGAGUGACAGGUGGUGCAUGGUUGUCGUCAGCUCGUGUCGUGAGAUGUUGGGUUAAGUCCCGCAACGAGCGCAACCCUUGAUCUUAGUUGCCAGCAUUCAGUUGGGCACUCUAAGGUGACUGCCGGUGACAAACCGGAGGAAGGUGGGGAUGACGUCAAAUCAUCAUGCCCCUUAUGACCUGGGCUACACACGUGCUACAAUGGACAGAACAAAGGGCAGCGAAACCGCGAGGUUAAGCCAAUCCCACAAAUCUGUUCUCAGUUCGGAUCG
RNAcentral lists this ribosomal RNA (1062 nucleotides) under Bacillus subtilis. RNAcentral describes it as "bacterial SSU rRNA". It matches the Rfam family "Bacterial small subunit ribosomal RNA", at positions 246 to 1300 of the family's 1533-position model. The record is from RNAcentral. Lineage: Bacteria; Bacillati; Bacillota; Bacilli; Caryophanales; Bacillaceae.